GUUUGAAGUUGCCUUUUUACAGGGCGGCAUGACAAUUGACUUUCUUUUUUACGUUAAAAAAUGCUUUAAAAUACUAAUUUUGCUUGUUAUAGUUGUCCAUUUAAAUAACCCAAUGACUACUCACUCAGCUCGUCCGUAGCUGCUGCCAUUUUGAAAUAGUGUAUGAGAGAAAGCGGAUGACAUCGAGAAACGAGAAAUGUCGCUGAAUUUUGCAAUUAAUCGUUUUAUGUCGAAUCACUAUCUAUGUACUUUGACUAAACAUAUGCAAAUUGAUGUACUUUGUUUCACAACGCAAAAUACAAUAACAAAAUUUUGA
Molecule: long non-coding RNA, 316 nt
Organism: Vespa mandarinia (Asian giant hornet)
Lineage: Eukaryota; Metazoa; Arthropoda; Insecta; Hymenoptera; Vespidae
Source: RefSeq, a predicted model, not a curated record